UCAACCAUGAAUAUCGGUCAACUCUAUUUACUUCGGUUAUUAUUCGAUUUUCGGUACAAAAGUGAUCACCACUAGGUACUAAACAAAGAUAAUAGCCCGUUAAGAAAAACUUAACUCAUGGCCGAGGAUUGGCCGUCGAAGCGCGCAUCACCCUGUAGUGUGGUGCAGUUUAGCCUUAUAUGCAUCGCAUACACACGACCACGUAUAGGAGGGCAGGACAAGCGGCCAUGAAGCCUUCGAGAUCAACACACAUACGCAAGAGACAAGACGGCGGGGGCAAAACCCAAUCCAAAUUCCUGCCGAAGAUCCAAAGACCGCCGAACAGCUCACGCCAUGUAGAGAGUCUCAGAGAGCUCCUCUCUCUCUCAGUCUCACCAGUGGCUAUUUAUUCAAGGGAACCACAGUAGGAGCAUCAGUGCAUGCCCAGUGCUCUGUCACACCGCUAGACGGCACCAUGUACCCACCGACCCACGGACAACCACCUGCUGCUUUCUCGCCGCCGCCGUCCUCCUCCUCCUGCCCCUUCUGACCUCCUAUCCAUGCGCGGUCGCCGCAUAUCGCCUGCCGCCAGCCCCUCCUCCUCCAGGUAUAUAUGCACAUAUGCGAUCAAACAUCCUUUGGGUGCUUCGAACCCUAGCCUUGUUGUGUGUAUGAAAUGAAUCGGGUGCCUCGAUGUGAUUGCAGUGCUGCUGCUAGGUGGUGACGCCGGUGCUUGCGGCCGGAGCGCGGCGAGUGAGGGGAAGGAGCUGGCGGUGGGAGCUGCUGCCAGGCGCUUGGGGCAUAGGACGCCGGUGUGGAGGCCUCCCUCGCCGAGACCCCAGGCCAGUCAGGGGGUGUACACGCCCACGCCGCCACCGCCGCCGUCAAUCAACUAAUAGGGCGCCGAGGCUCCGAGGGCAUGCAUGUUUCGUGCACACUAUGCUGUCUUCCUUCGAUCGAUCAAUAUCUCCUGCUUUUUCCAGGGCGUUGCGUGGAUAUGCACCAGAGGAUAAAGGACGGCUUGCUGCCGUGUACGAAAGCACUUUCGCUAGUGUCAAAUAUGUUGGAGUCAGUUCCAUAUAGUACAAAUACUCGUAUGAUGCUCUCAUGCUCACUUAUCUCCGUUCUAUAAAGUACAACUACGGUAGUUUUUUCUAUGAAAAAAAUCAGAUCUAUUGUUAAAGGUGCUUGACCUUGUCGAUGAAAGUUGGAAAGUCUUCGUGCACGUGUCUCUAAGGACCAGCACGUUCUGGAGCCGUAGUUGUCGCCGUUGAACCCUUGUAUAGAUCUGAAGCAUCAGACACCAAAUCUCGCCACAUGAUAAGAAACUCUAACCUCACCGGCUCAAAGGGGAUGACAGGAACCUACCCCGAAGCUCUGCAGACUACGUCCAGACAGACAAACUCGAGGAGCAUCAGAACCCGGAAGACAAACUCGAAGAAGCGCAGCACCUGCAAGAAAUAUAAAACUAUAACCUAAACUACUAACCGGAGCGGAGGCACCAUGAUGCGCCUCCCCGCCACCGACCGCCGAAGCAGCAGGCAGAGGGAAGCGAAUCCAUGGGCUCGCUGAUGAAACCUAGAGGGGAGAGUUUACCCUAGCAGUCCAGGGUUAGGGGGAGACAACUACGGUAGCUGGCUUGAUAAAUUUUCAUUUCUCAAAUCCGUAAUCAAAGGAGGUGAGAUAGUU
Molecule: long non-coding RNA, 1668 nt
Filed under: Triticum aestivum (bread wheat)
Lineage: Eukaryota; Viridiplantae; Streptophyta; Magnoliopsida; Poales; Poaceae
Description: long non-coding RNA (TAES_LNC012572)
Source: RNAcentral